UACGUAGGUGACCAGCGUUGUCCGGAUUUACUGGGCGUAAAGAGCGCGUAGGCGGUCGUUCAAGUCGAGUGUGAAAGCCCCCGGCUCAACUGGGGAGGGUCACUUGAUACUGAUCGACUCGAAGGCAGGAGAGGGAAGCGGAAUUCCCGGUGUAGUGGUGAAAUGCGUAGAUAUCUGGAGGAACACCGGUGGCGAAGGCGGCAUUCUGGACCGAUAUUGACGCUGAGGAGCGAAAGCGAGGGGAGCAAACGGG
This 253-nucleotide ribosomal RNA is filed under the name uncultured bacterium. RNAcentral describes it as "partial 16S ribosomal RNA". It matches the Rfam family "Bacterial small subunit ribosomal RNA", at positions 524 to 776 of the family's 1533-position model. The record is from RNAcentral.